This 468-nucleotide ribosomal RNA is filed under the name uncultured bacterium. RNAcentral describes it as "partial 16S ribosomal RNA". It matches the Rfam family "Bacterial small subunit ribosomal RNA", at positions 28 to 507 of the family's 1533-position model. The record is from RNAcentral.
GACGAACGCUGGCGGCGUGCUUAACACAUGCAAGUCGAACGGAAAGGCCCUGCUUUUGUGGGGUGCUCGAGUGGCGAACGGGUGAGUAACACGUGAGUAACCUGCCCUUGACUUUGGGAUAACUUCAGGAAACUGGGGCUAAUACCGGAUAGGAGCUCCUGCUGCAUGGUGGGGGUUGGAAAGUUUCGGCGGUUGGGGAUGGACUGGCGGCUUAUCAGCUUGUUGGGGGGGUAGUGGCUUACCAAGGCUUUGACGGGUAGCCGGCCUGAGAGGGUGACCGGCCACAUUGGGCCUGAGAUACGGCCCAGACUCCUACGGGAGGCAGCAGUGGGGAAUAUUGCACAAUGGGCGGAAGCCUGAUGCAGCAACGCCGCGUGCGGGAUGACGGCCUUCGGGUUGUAAACCGCUUUCGCCUGUGACGAAGCGUGAGUGACGGUAAUGGGUAAAGAAGCACCGGCUAACUACGUG